GACGAACGCUGGCGGCGUGCUUAACACAUGCAAGUCGAACGGGAAGGCCCUGCUUUUGUGGGGUGCUCGAGUGGCGAACGGGUGAGUAACACGUGAGUAACCUGCCCUUGACUUUGGGAUAACUUCAGGAAACUGGGGCUAAUACCGGAUAGGAGCUCCUGCUGCAUGGUGGGGGUUGGAAAGUUUCGGCGGUUGGGGAUGGACUCGCGGCUUAUCAGCUUGUUGGUGGGGUAGUGGCUUACCAAGGCUUUGACGGGUAGCCGGCCUGAGAGGGUGACCGGCCACAUUGGGACUGAGAUACGGCCCAGACUCCUACGGGAGGCAGCAGUGGGGAAUAUUGCACAAUGGGCGGAAGCCUGAUGCAGCAACGCCGCGUGCGGGGUGACGGCCUUCGGGUUGUAAACCGCUUUCGCCUGUGACGAAGCGUGAGUGACGGUAAUGGGUAAAGAAGCACCGGCUAACUACGUG
Molecule: ribosomal RNA, 468 nt
Filed under: uncultured bacterium
Lineage: Bacteria
Description: partial 16S ribosomal RNA
Rfam family: Bacterial small subunit ribosomal RNA
Source: RNAcentral